AGGAGCGAAGUGAAGGGAAACUUUCAUGCUUCGUUCUGAAGACCAGUAGGGAGGGCGACUUCCCUGCUGAGUUUAAC
Molecule: non-coding RNA, 77 nt
Organism: Halothece sp. PCC 7418
Lineage: Bacteria; Bacillati; Cyanobacteriota; Cyanophyceae; Chroococcales; Halothecacae
Source: Rfam